GAUGAAGAACGUAGCGAAAUGCGAUAAGUAAUGUGAAUUGCAGAAUUCAGUGAAUCAUCGAAUCUUUGAACGCACAUUGCGCCCGACAGUAUUCUGGCGGGCAUGCCUGUUCGAGCGUCAUUUCAACCAUCAAGCCCCCGGCUUGUGUUGGGGACCUGCGGCUGCCGCAGGCCCUGAAAACCAGUGGCGGGCUCGCUGUCACACCGAGCGUAGUAGAUUUUCAUCUCGCUCAGGGCGUGCUGCGGGUUCCGGCCGUAAAAAGCCUUAUUUACCCAAGGUUGACCUCGGAUCAGGUAGGAAGACCCGCUGAACUUAAGCAUAUCAAUAAGCGGAGG
RNAcentral lists this unclassified non-coding RNA (335 nucleotides) under soil metagenome. RNAcentral describes it as "partial contains 5.8S ribosomal RNA, internal transcribed spacer 2, and large subunit ribosomal RNA". The stretch from base 1 to 120 matches the Rfam family "5.8S ribosomal RNA", at positions 35 to 154 of the family's 154-position model. The record is from RNAcentral.